This 243-nucleotide unclassified non-coding RNA is filed under the name Botryosphaeriaceae sp. Its description in RNAcentral is "partial contains 5.8S ribosomal RNA, internal transcribed spacer 2, and large subunit ribosomal RNA". Lineage: Eukaryota; Fungi; Ascomycota; Dothideomycetes; Botryosphaeriales; Botryosphaeriaceae. The record is from RNAcentral.
CGCACAUUGCGCCCCUUGGUAUCCCGAGGGGCAUGCCUGUUCGAGCGUCAUUUAGGACAUCAAGCUCUGCUUGGUCUUGGGCGCGGUCCUCCCCGACCGGCCUGUAACUGUUAGCGGCGACCGUCGGUCCCUAGGCGUAGCAAAACUAUUCGUCUCUGGGUGCUGCGGGCAGCUGUCUCAAGACCCGGCCACUGGCCACCAAAGUUUGACCUCGGAUCAGGUAGGGAUACCCGCUGAACUUAA